UGGGACAAGCCCUGGAAACGGGGUCUAAUACCGGAUACGACCUGCCGAGGCAUCUCGGCGGGUGGAAAGCUCCGGCGGUGAAGGAUGAGCCCGCGGCCUAUCAGCUUGUUGGUGAGGUAACGGCUCACCAAGGCGACGACGGGUAGCCGGCCUGAGAGGGCGACCGGCCACACUGGGACUGAGACACGGCCCAGACUCCUACGGGAGGCAGCAGUGGGGAAUAUUGCACAAUGGGCGAAAGCCUGAUGCAGCGACGCCGCGUGAGGGAUGACGGCCUUCGGGUUGUAAACCUCUUUCAGCAGGGAAGAAGCGAAAGUGACGGUACCUGCAGAAGAAGCGCCGGCUAACUACGUGCCAGCAGCCGCGGUAAUACGUAGGGCGCAAGCGUUGUCCGGAAUUAUUGGGCGUAAAGAGCUCGUAGGCGGCUUGUCACGUCGGGUGUGAAAGCCCGGGGCUUAACCCCGGGUCUGCAUCCGAUACGGGCAGGCUAGAGUGUGGUAGGGGAGAUCGGAAUUCCUGGUGUAGCGGUGAAAUGCGCAGAUAUCAGGAGGAACACCGGUGGCGAAGGCGGAUCUCUGGGCCAUUACUGACGCUGAGGAGCGAAAGCGUGGGGAGCGAACAGGAUUAGAUACCCUGGUAGUCCACGCCGUAAACGUUGGGAACUAGGUGUUGGCGACAUUCCACGUCGUCGGUGCCGCAGCUAACGCAUUAAGUUCCCCGCCUGGGGAGUACGGCCGCAAGGCUAAAACUC
Molecule: ribosomal RNA, 751 nt
Filed under: Streptomyces viridobrunneus
Lineage: Bacteria; Bacillati; Actinomycetota; Actinomycetes; Kitasatosporales; Streptomycetaceae
Description: bacterial SSU rRNA
Rfam family: Bacterial small subunit ribosomal RNA
Source: RNAcentral